GGCCCCUUUUUUUUUUUUUUUAAAUUUUUAAAAAAUUUUUUAAAAGGGGGCCCCAAAAAACCCCCUUUUUUUAAGGAAAAAAGGGGCCCCCCCCUUUUAAAAUUUUAAAACCCCCUUUUUUUCCAUUAAAAAAGGGGAAAA
Protopterus annectens (West African lungfish) is the source of this 141-nucleotide small nucleolar RNA. RefSeq annotates it as small nucleolar RNA SNORA40. NCBI's taxonomy places the organism in Eukaryota, Metazoa, Chordata, Ceratodontiformes, Protopteridae. The record is from RefSeq and is a predicted model, not a curated record. The transcript has a single exon.